Molecule: small nuclear RNA, 104 nt
Organism: Monodelphis domestica (gray short-tailed opossum)
Lineage: Eukaryota; Metazoa; Chordata; Mammalia; Didelphimorphia; Didelphidae
Gene: U2
Rfam family: U2 spliceosomal RNA
About the family: U2 is a small nuclear RNA (snRNA) component of the spliceosome (involved in pre-mRNA splicing). Complementary binding between U2 snRNA (in an area lying towards the 5' end but 3' to hairpin I) and the branchpoint sequence (BPS) of the intron results the bulging out of an unpaired adenosine, on the BPS, which initiates a nucleophilic attack at the intronic 5' splice site, thus starting the first of two transesterification reactions that mediate splicing.
Source: Ensembl
AUUGCUUCUUGGCCUUUUGGCUAAGAUCAAGUGUAGUAAAAAAUCAUCUCCACAAAAAAGCAAUGUAGUUUUAUUAAUCUCACAUUAAAUUUAGUAGACAUUAA